RNAcentral lists this ribosomal RNA (292 nucleotides) under uncultured bacterium. RNAcentral's name for it is "partial 16S ribosomal RNA". It matches the Rfam family "Bacterial small subunit ribosomal RNA", at positions 335 to 645 of the family's 1533-position model. The record is from RNAcentral.
GGCCUACGGGAGGCAGCAGUGGGGAAUAUUGCACAAUGGGGGAAACCCUGAUGCAGCGACGCCGCGUGAGUGAAGAAGUAUUUCGGUAUGUAAAGCUCUAUCAGCAGGGAAGAAAAUGACGGUACCUGACUAAGAAGCCCCGGCUAACUACGUGCCAGCAGCCGCGGUAAUACGUAGGGGGCAAGCGUUAUCCGGAUUUACUGGGUGUAAAGGGAGCGUAGACGGCAGAGCAAGUCUGAAGUGAGAGCCCGCGGCCCAACUGCGGGACUGCUUUGGAAACUGCCCGGCUAGA